UAGAAGAAUAAGAUCUGGAAGUGAGGAAUCUAAUCUAAUGUUUUCGAAAAGCUUCUCCCAGAUACACAAAUUCAAAAAAUUUGUUCACACAACAAAUCAACAGCAGCAGCAACAACAAUAUCAAAUCAAAUUCAACCCUUUUUGCUUUCUUUCUUUAUCAUAAUCAUCAUGAAUUAAAAAAAAAAAAAAAAGGAAAGAGGAAUAUAUCGUGAGAGAGAGGGAGGGAGAAUUCAGAUUCAAAAGAAUGUAUUGCAAGAAGAAGGUUUGUC
This 269-nucleotide long non-coding RNA is filed under the name Medicago truncatula (barrel medic). Its description in RNAcentral is "long non-coding RNA (MTRU_LNC000218)". The record is from RNAcentral. Lineage: Eukaryota; Viridiplantae; Streptophyta; Magnoliopsida; Fabales; Fabaceae.